This 253-nucleotide ribosomal RNA is filed under the name uncultured bacterium. Its description in RNAcentral is "partial 16S ribosomal RNA". It matches the Rfam family "Bacterial small subunit ribosomal RNA", at positions 524 to 776 of the family's 1533-position model. The record is from RNAcentral.
UACGUAGGGGGCUAGCGUUGUCCGGAAUCAUUGGGCGUAAAGCGCGUGUAGGCGGUCCGGUAAGUCCGCUGUGAAAGUCGAGGGCUCAACCCUCGAAUGCCGGUGGAUACUGUCGAGCUCGAGUCCGGAAGAGGCGAGUGGAAUUCCUGGUGUAGCGGUGAAAUGCGCAGAUAUCAGGAGGAACACCAAUGGCGAAGGCAGCUCGCUGGGACGUGACUGACGCUGAGACGCGAAAGCGUGGGGAGCAAACAGG